Molecule: ribosomal RNA, 1470 nt
Filed under: metagenome
Description: bacterial SSU rRNA
Rfam family: Bacterial small subunit ribosomal RNA
Source: RNAcentral
AGAGUUUGAUCCUGGCUCAGGACGAACGCUGGCGGCACGCUUAACACAUGCAAGUCGAACGAGAGAAGAGGAGCUUGCUUUUCUGAUCUAGUGGCGGACGGGUGAGUAACACGUGAGCAAUCUGCCUUUCAGAGGGGGAUACCGAUUGGAAACGAUCGUUAAUACCGCAUAACAUAAUUGAACCGCAUGAUUUGAUUAUCAAAGAUUUAUCGCUGAAAGAUGAGCUCGCGUCUGAUUAGCUAGUUGGUAAGGUAACGGCUUACCAAGGCGACGAUCAGUAGCCGGACUGAGAGGUUGAUCGGCCACAUUGGGACUGAGACACGGCCCAGACUCCUACGGGAGGCAGCAGUGGGGAAUAUUGCACAAUGGAGGAAACUCUGAUGCAGCGAUGCCGCGUGAGGGAAGAAGGUUUUAGGAUUGUAAACCUCUGUCUUCAGGGACGAAAAAAGACGGUACCUGAGGAGGAAGCUCCGGCUAACUACGUGCCAGCAGCCGCGGUAAUACGUAGGGAGCGAGCGUUGUCCGGAAUUACUGGGUGUAAAGGGAGCGUAGGCGGGAUCGCAAGUCAGAUGUGAAAACUAUGGGCCUAACCCAUAAACUGCAUUUGAAACUGUGGUUCUUGAGUGAAGUAGAGGUAAGCGGAAUUCCUAGUGUAGCGGUGAAAUGCGUAGAUAUUAGGAGGAACAUCAGUGGCGAAGGCGGCUUACUGGGCUUUAACUGACGCUGAGGCUCGAAAGCGUGGGGAGCAAACAGGAUUAGAUACCCUGGUAGUCCACGCCGUAAACGAUGAUUACUAGGUGUGGGGGGACUGACCCCUUCCGUGCCGCAGCAAACGCAAUAAGUAAUCCACCUGGGGAGUACGACCGCAAGGUUGAAACUCAAAGGAAUUGACGGGGGCCCGCACAAGCAGUGGAGUAUGUGGAUUAAUUCGAAGCAACGCGAAGAACCUUACCAGGUCUUGACAUCGUAUGCAUAGCUCAGAGAUGAGUGGAAUCUCUUCGGAGACAUAUAGACAGGUGGUGCAUGGUUGUCGUCAGCUCGUGUCGUGAGAUGUUGGGUUAAGUCCCGCAACGAGCGCAACCCUUACUGUUAGUUGCUACGCAAGAGCACUCUAGCAGGACUGCCGUUGACAAAACGGAGGAAGGUGGGGAUGACGUCAAAUCAUCAUGCCCCUUAUGACCUGGGCCUCACACGUACUACAAUGGCUGUCAACAGAGGGAAGCAAAGCCGCGAGGUGGAGCGAACCCCUAAAAGCAGUCUUAGUUCGGAUUGUAGGCUGCAACCCGCCUACAUGAAGUCGGAAUUGCUAGUAAUCGCAGAUCAGCAUGCUGCGGUGAAUACGUUCCCGGGCCUUGUACACACCGCCCGUCACGCCAUGGGAGUCGGUAACACCCGAAGCCUGUAGUCUAACCGCAAGGAGGACGCAGUCGAAGGUGGGAUUGAUGACUGGGGUGAAGUCGUAACAAGGUA